AUACGAAGGGAGCUAGCGUUGUUCGGAAUUACUGGGCGUAAAGCGCGCGCAGGCGGCCUUUCAAGUCUGGUGUGAAAGCCCGGGGCUCAACCCCGGAACUGCAUCGGAAACUGAUCGGCUUGAAUACGGGAGGGGUUAGUGGAAUUCCAGGUGUAGGGGUGAAAUCCGUAGAGAUCUGGAGGAACACCGGUGGCGAAGGCGACUGACUGGACCGUUAUUGACGCUGAGGUGCGAAAGCGUGGGGAGCAAACAGGAUUAGAAACCCGAGUAGUCC
RNAcentral lists this ribosomal RNA (274 nucleotides) under uncultured bacterium. Its description in RNAcentral is "partial 16S ribosomal RNA". It matches the Rfam family "Bacterial small subunit ribosomal RNA", at positions 523 to 796 of the family's 1533-position model. The record is from RNAcentral.